Molecule: ribosomal RNA, 253 nt
Filed under: uncultured bacterium
Lineage: Bacteria
Description: partial 16S ribosomal RNA
Rfam family: Bacterial small subunit ribosomal RNA
Source: RNAcentral
UACGGGGGGGGCAAGCGUUGUUCGGAAUUACUGGGCGUAAAGGGCGCGUAGGCGGCCUUCUAAGUCGGACGUGAAAUCCCUCGGCUUAACCGAGGAACUGCGUCCGAUACUGAAAGGCUUGAAUCCGGGAGAGGGAUGUGGAACUCCAGGUGUAGCGGUGAAAUGCGUAGAUAUCUGGAGGAACACCGGUGGCGAAGGCGGCAUCCUGGACCAACACUGACACUGAGGAGCGAAAGCCAGGGGAGCAAACGGG